RNAcentral lists this long non-coding RNA (537 nucleotides) under Homo sapiens (human). RNAcentral's name for it is "non-protein coding lnc-CENPT-1:11". The record is from RNAcentral. Lineage: Eukaryota; Metazoa; Chordata; Mammalia; Primates; Hominidae.
AAUUGCUAGUUACCAGUGCCCUGGCUUAUCGUGUGUUAGACUCUGAGUUAAACAUCAACUCCUUGAAUCAUUACAAGCUCCUUAUCAGCGAGGCUGCCUCCAAAGCAUCCGGAGUUUGCAACCAUCACUGUCCACCCCGCGAGCUGCGAUAGUGCGAGAACUACAAUUCCCGUGGGGCUGUGCGGGAGCAUCGCGAGAGUUACAUUAACUGUGGCGGCGGGAAGGCGGAGCCUGCAGCUGGCUGGGCGGUUAGGAGGGCCCGGGGCCGAGACGAUGGCUGACCACAACCCUGACAGCGACUCCACGCCGCGCACGCUGCUGCGACGCGUGCUGGAUACAGCGGACCCGCGCACCCCGCGGCGACCCCGGAGUGCUCGGGCUGGAGCCCGGAGAGCCCUGCUUGAAACGGCUUCCCCCAGGAAGUUGAGUGGCCAAACAAGGACGAUAGCCAGAGGGCGUUCCCAUGGAGCCAGGGUAAGUACCCAGCCCACUGACCCCAAAGGGCCCUGGCUGCCUCGGGGAGGGGGGUUGAGGUCU